Molecule: ribosomal RNA, 945 nt
Filed under: uncultured bacterium
Lineage: Bacteria
Description: bacterial SSU rRNA
Rfam family: Bacterial small subunit ribosomal RNA
Source: RNAcentral
GGCGGCAUGCUUACACAUGCAGUCGAACGGUGAAGGUGGAGCUUGCUCCGCCGGAUCAGUGCCGUACGGGUGAGUAACACGUGGGCAACCUGCCCCAGACUCCGGGAUAACUUCUCGAAAGAGACGCUAAUACCGGAUACGAACUUCGCAGGCAUCUGUGAAGUUGGAAAGUUUUUCGGUCUGGGAUGGGCCCGCGGCCUAUCAGCUAGUUGGUGAGGUAUCGGCUCACCAAGGCGACGACGGGUAGCCGGCCUGAGAGGGCGACCGGCCACACUGGGACUGAGACACGGCCCACACUCCUACGGGAGGCAGCAGUCGGGAAUAUUGGACAAUGGGGGGAACCCUGAUCCAGCCAUGCCGCGUGUGUGAAGAAGGCUCUAGGGUUGUAAAGCACUUUUAGUAAGGAGGAAGGCUCAGUAGUUAAUACCUGCUGGGAUUGACGUUACUUACAGAAAAAGCACCGGCUAACUCCGUGCCAGCAGCCGCGGUAAUACGGAGGGUGCAAGCGUUGUCCGGAAUCGUUGGGUGUAAAGGGUGCGUAGGCGGAUGCCUAAGUCUGGGGUGAAAUCUUGCAGCUUAACUGUAAAAUUGCCUUGGAUACUGGGUGUCUUGAGUACAGAAGAGGAUGGUGGAAUUCGUAGUGUAGCGGUGAAAUGCAUAGAUAUUACGAAGAACACCGGUGGCGAAAGCGGCCAUCUGGUCUGUUACUGACGCUGACGCACGAAAGCGUGGGGAGCGAACAGGAUUAGAUACCCUGGUAGUCCACGCCGUAAACGAUGUGUGCUAGUUGUUGGCCUGUAUGGGCCAGUGACGUCAUUAACGCGCUAAGCACACCACGUGGGGAGUACGUUCGCAAGAUGAAACUCAAGGAAUUGACGGGGGCCCGCACAGCGGUGGAGCAUGUGGCUUAAUCGAUGCACCGAGAAGAACUUACCUGGGUAAAUC